This 72-nucleotide transfer RNA is filed under the name Pangasius djambal. RNAcentral's name for it is "tRNA-Glu". The record is from RNAcentral. Lineage: Eukaryota; Metazoa; Chordata; Actinopteri; Siluriformes; Pangasiidae.
UCCCUGGAGGACUAGUGGUUUGGCCACAGUGCUCUCACUGCUGUGGGCUGGGUCCGAUUCCUGGCCAGGGAA